Long non-coding RNA from Capsicum annuum, 924 nucleotides. RefSeq lists it as uncharacterized. The record is from RefSeq and is a predicted model, not a curated record. Lineage: Eukaryota; Viridiplantae; Streptophyta; Magnoliopsida; Solanales; Solanaceae. The transcript has 2 exons.
AUCACUAUCCUUUUUCACCCCAUUAAUUAAUUAUCAUCUCUAGUUGUACCACAAUUAAUUCUGUAACACAUUAUGACUCGUACGUGCUCUCACUCUCACAAACACAACUUGCAGUAUAAGUAUUGAUCUCUUUUAGUUAUAUCGUCUAACUUUUAAUUAGUUUCUUUUCUCAAUCAUAUAUGUUUUCUCUCUAUAAUAUCUUUGUCUUCAUAAGUUGUCACUUCUGCCAAUCAAGGGAGAUAUAGCCAAAUUGUUGAAAAGCAUGCUAUCAAAUACAAGGAGAAGCAUCCAUAUCUUGACUUGAAACUAAAUAUAUCAUCACCACCUAGAGUUAUUUCAAUGGAAAGAUCAUCACCUGCGAGCUCGUGUGUGUCUAGGGAACCGAGUCCUGACGAAGAGUUCUCGAAGAAGAGUGCCAUGCCCAUGAUGCUUGUGGGUUGCCCUGGAUGCUUAAUGUAUGUCAUCAUAUCAGAAGAGAAUCUAAAAUGUCCCAAAUGCAAGAGCACCGUCUUGCUUGAUUUUUUCAAGGAGGAAAGGAUCAAGAAUUCAAAGGCUUGAAAUCAAGAAAAUGUCAUGGUACUUUGCUAUACUUAUUUAAGCCUUUUGAUUCUUGAUCACAUCCUUUCUUCUUUUUUUCUUUUGUGUGGUGAGUUAUGUUGGUACGACUCUUUAGAAAUUUUAUCAAGUGCGUGUUGGAUUCUCAAUAGUGUGUUUUAGAGGAUCCGAUACAAAUGUGACAACAAUUUUAAAGAGUCUGAGUAAGUGAGUGAGGGGAGAUGAGGUGUUUGAAUGCUUUGGUUUGCUUACAGAGUGAAGGAUUUUUUUAGUUUGGGACAGUUGUUGAGGUCUUGAUAGGAUUGAGCGUGACGUAACGAAGUUUGCUCGCUGGUCAUAUUUCGCUAUAUAAUGUUUUGGUCCUAAUAA